GAUGAACGCUGGCGGCGUGCCUAAUACAUGCCAGUCGAGCGAACGGACGAGAAGCUUGCUUUUCUGAUGUUAGCGGCGGACGGGUGAGUACACGUGGAUAACCUACCUAUAAGACUGGGAUAACUUCGGGAAACCGGAGCUAAUACCGGAUAAUAUUUUGAACCGCAUGGUUCAAAAGUGAAGGACGGUCUUGCUGUCACUUAUAGAUGGAUCCGCGCUGCAUUAGCUAGUUGGUAAGGUAACGGCUUACCAAGGCAACGAUGCAUAGCCGACCUGAGAGGGUGAUCGGCCACACUGGAACUGAGACACGGUCCAGACUCCUACGGGAGGCAGCAGUAGGGAAUCUUCCGCAAUGGGCGAAAGCCUGACGGAGCAACGCCGCGUGAGUGAUGAAGGUCUUCGGAUCGUAAAACUCUGUUAUUAGGGAAGAACAUAUGUGUAAGUAACUGUGCACAUCUUGACGGUACCUAAUCAGAAAGCCACGGCUAACUACGUG
RNAcentral lists this ribosomal RNA (496 nucleotides) under uncultured bacterium. RNAcentral describes it as "partial 16S ribosomal RNA". It matches the Rfam family "Bacterial small subunit ribosomal RNA", at positions 28 to 507 of the family's 1533-position model. The record is from RNAcentral.